AGUGAACGCUGGCGGUAGGCCUAACACAUGCAAGUCGAACGGCAGCACAGUAAGAGCUUGCUCUUACGGGUGGCGAGUGGCGGACGGGUGAGGAAUAUAUCGGAAUCUACUUUUUCGUGGGGGAUAACGUAGGGAAACUUACGCUAAUACCGCAUACGACCUACGGGUGAAAGCAGGGGAUCUUCGGACCUUGCGCGAUUGAAUGAGCCGAUGUCGGAUUAGCUAGUUGGCGGGGUAAAGGCCCACCAAGGCGACGAUCCGUAGCUGGUCUGAGAGGAUGAUCAGCCACACUGGAACUGAGACACGGUCCAGACUCCUACGGGAGGCAGCAGUGGGGAAUAUUGGACAAUGGGCGCAAGCCUGAUCCAGCCAUACCGCGUGGGUGAAGAAGGCCUUCGGGCUGUAAAGCCCUUUUGUUGGGAAAGAAAAGCAGCAGGUUAAUACCCCGCUGUUCUGACGGUACCCAAAGAAUAAGCACCGGCUAACUUCGUG
This 492-nucleotide ribosomal RNA is filed under the name uncultured bacterium. RNAcentral describes it as "partial 16S ribosomal RNA". It matches the Rfam family "Bacterial small subunit ribosomal RNA", at positions 29 to 507 of the family's 1533-position model. The record is from RNAcentral.